RNAcentral lists this small RNA (566 nucleotides) under chicken gut metagenome. The record is from RNAcentral.
UUAGUAUAACGAAGGUGCAGUAUUCUAGUCAACUAGUUUAUAUGAGGGUGCCGAAAUAAGCAUCGCUGGCAUACCUAUGAAGUUCGUGGUGUUGGUCUUGAUUGCCCAAAUUGGGACUGAUACUGGGAGUUAAGAUUUUUGGGACACGUAUAACGGCAUAUACGUCCACUCCCAAUUAUCGUGGAGACCUAAGUGGGUAAGUUAUUUGAAUUUUAUCGCUUAGGAUAGAACCUGCAUAUGACGAAAGUUGUGUGCAGUGUAGCCUGCUUUGAGUGGAUAAUUCGGGAUAAAGUGCAAACUUUUAUACUUUCAAAGUACACGAAAUAUGAAAGUUGCUUUUGAAAUAUUAUUCGCAAAAUCAAGAUAAAUAUAAAUGAUGUUGUUAAGGAAAACUUCUAGACUGUAUCAAAUGAUGGCACUCUGGGGAUUAUAGUGUGGUCUCAGUGGCGAUUCGGUGCAAGUUUUGCGUAAAGGGAAACCGCUUAACUGGUGACAGAGAAGUGCAAAAUUGGGAAAUCCAACCGAACCUUAUGCCGCAAGGUUUACUCAGAGUGUUGCCUUCGUGU